Molecule: long non-coding RNA, 1392 nt
Organism: Populus trichocarpa (black cottonwood)
Lineage: Eukaryota; Viridiplantae; Streptophyta; Magnoliopsida; Malpighiales; Salicaceae
Exons: 2
Source: RefSeq, a predicted model, not a curated record
AGUCAGCUUUUAGAAGAAAAAAAUAGUAGCAGAAGGCUAGAAGUUAGUGAUUGCAAGAGAAAAAACGAUGGAGUUUGGUGGGAUGUUUCAGUAAACUUAGGCCCAAUAUUCUUCUUGGGAUUGGCAGUAAAAAGGACCUCAAAUCCCCUAUAAAUACUACCCUUUCUCACCCUAAACCUACACACUACACCUCCUUUCAAUCUCUCUCUUUUAUCUCUAUAUUUGACUUCUCUUUCUCCCUUAGCCCUCUUGACCUUUCUCUUUAGAAAACUUUCUAGGGUUUGUUCAUUGGAGGGCUUUGAAGCUAUUAGAAUCUAUUUUUAGGUGUGUUUGUAUGUAGCCCUUUCAUGGAGAGCUUUGAAGCUUCUCAAUAUAUUUUUGGUGUGGUUGUACGUGACCCUCUUUGUAUUCUUCCACAGCUUUCUUGAACUGCACCUAUUAGAUUAAUGUUGAUGUUGUUGUGCGAUAUGCCAUGACCAUAUGACAUUGUAUUCAUUUUUGCUGCGGUUCAAUAAAGCUGUGGGAAGAUACAAACAGGAUCAAAGAAAGUUGCUAUGUCUUCGUCGGACUCGGUAUCAAUGAUCGGUGUAUGAGUUCUUUUAUCAUCUAAACUUUCUUGAAUUUUUUGUUUGAUGAAUGAUCUCUUGGAUCCCAAUUGAGUUUAGGGUUUUUUAAUAUUCUUUUUACUAAUUAAUGCCUCCAAAUAUUCUUAUGAAUCUUUCAAUCUCUUGUUUCUCGCAAGUUUCAUGCUUUGAAGGAGAACAAGAAGGGAUAUAUGGCUACUUCAAAUUAAAGGGCUUUCCGUUCUUUAACCAGUCAUCAUUUUUACUUAUCUAUUCAUGAUUUAACAAGUGCAUUAUUUUAUUAUUCCCAGAGAGCUAAUACUUGUAGAACAUCACUACAGAAUUUUCUCUCAUGUUAAUUUACAGAGUAUUUUGGAUGCAUAGCUUCCUGCCAGCAGUGUCCUUCCUUUUGCACUUGCAUCAAAAAGAGACCACACAAACAAAGAUUUAUCGGCCAUGAACAGUUGCUCUUGGAGUGGCCAAAUAAAGUUUAACCCAUCUUAAUAUUUCAGAGUCGGGAUUGACAAUUACAACUUGACCCGUGAGCAUGAAGCGCACAAAGAGAUUAGGGUUUUUUCCCUCUUCAUUUUCUUUUCCAAACUUCGAUGGGAGGGCAACUAAUAAAAUGGCAAGGAAAAGUAUGAUCCAUAGGGGACUAAAGAGAACAAAAUAUUGCCCUGUCCUUUUAGGGCUGACACACAUGUUUUCAAUCAGAUCAUAGUAUGUUCAUGCCCUUCUCCUUCGGAUAGUAGAAACAAUAUAUCUUUCUUCUAUGUACAAAUGAAUCUUGCAUGAACACAAUAAUAGAUGGUUCGACUUCAAUGAGCCA